GUAUAGAGGGCAACUACACCCUUUAAUGUAGU
This 32-nucleotide non-coding RNA is filed under the name Trypanosoma brucei brucei. Lineage: Eukaryota; Euglenozoa; Kinetoplastea; Trypanosomatida; Trypanosomatidae. The record is from RNAcentral.